Balaenoptera ricei (Rice's whale) is the source of this 650-nucleotide long non-coding RNA. RefSeq lists it as uncharacterized. The record is from RefSeq and is a predicted model, not a curated record. The transcript has 6 exons. NCBI's taxonomy places the organism in Eukaryota, Metazoa, Chordata, Mammalia, Artiodactyla, Balaenopteridae.
UGGGUUUUUGACGAGCGUUUUCGUCCUUCUUAACCCUUCUGACAACAGUGUAAAGCGUCUACUCUCAGAGUUGGCUUUUAUCUCACGGAAGAGGAGGAGAUACCAGGAGCGCAUGUGCACAAAGAAAGCCCACUCAAGGACACAGUGAGAAGGAAGCCGAGGAGAGAGGCCUCAGGAGAAACGAAAUCUGCCAACACCUUGAUCUUGGACUUCCAGCCUGCAGAAUUGAAAAUGUAUAUCGAAGAGGAUUAAAUUAAUCAUACUUCUGAAUACAAGGACGCACUGUUGGAGCAUACUCUCUCAGUUGUGUUGAGAGACUUCCCUGCUGAUAUUUUAGAGAUACAGAUGAAGCCAGACAGAUCAAGCUGCUUCUCAUUCUUAUCCCAAGAAGCUGGCUGACUGCAGGGCCUCCGGACUCUGUCAGGGAAGACACUCCUUCCCAGAAGUUCCCAGCAACUCUCAUUUAUGCGUAGCCACAAGGCGUGAUGGGAAAUGAGUAUGUGGCAUUUUGAGCCUCCAUCAUGGAAACAGGCUCCACCCAGAGGAAGCAGCGGGUAGAUCUGGCUAUUGGAUAUGUUGCACGGUCUAAUCGAUAGACCCAGAAAAGGAAGAUAGAUCUCGGUGUCAGCAUGGAGGGAACAUGCAUGGGG